This 112-nucleotide small nucleolar RNA is filed under the name Huiozyma naganishii CBS 8797. RNAcentral describes it as "Kazachstania naganishii CBS 8797 Small nucleolar RNA snR66". It matches the Rfam family "Small nucleolar RNA snR66". From Rfam's summary of the family: snR66 is a member of the C/D class of snoRNA which contain the C (UGAUGA) and D (CUGA) box motifs. Most of the members of the box C/D family function in directing site-specific 2'-O-methylation of substrate RNAs. Lineage: Eukaryota; Fungi; Ascomycota; Saccharomycetes; Saccharomycetales; Saccharomycetaceae. The record is from Rfam by way of RNAcentral.
AUAUAUAUUACAAUGAUGAAACAUCAACGCAACAUAGAGUCAAGCUCUGAGUUUUUCAAAAAAUUGAGAACACGGGAAGAGACUUGCUAUUCAAUGACCUGAACUGUAAUAU